Lontra canadensis (Northern American river otter) is the source of this 514-nucleotide long non-coding RNA. RefSeq lists it as uncharacterized. The transcript has 3 exons. Lineage: Eukaryota; Metazoa; Chordata; Mammalia; Carnivora; Mustelidae. The record is from RefSeq and is a predicted model, not a curated record.
GCCAGCAUGGCGGAAGUGCGCACUGGGGAGGAGAGGUAUAAAAUGAGUCGGUGUCACAGUGUUUGGAGAACCAGAUGAAAAAGUCCAAGUUAUCUCUGAAAGUUUCUGUCUUACUUAGGUUGACCUGCACUUUGGAACUGUGUGGAUUCCUCCUAUCACGGGAUCAGUAUCUCGAUAAAUAACAAACUUCCCGAAAAGAAAGUUUAAACCUCAAAUCAUGUGUAACUAAAGCUGGACAACAACCCUCGGGACAAGGUAAAUGAAAAGUGAGUUGGCAACACAACUCACCUACAAGUUCUCCAAUCAUGAAAAGCAAGUAAAGAACGGCAGCAAUGGUCAAUCUGGUUUUCACCUUUCUCUGCUUCAGUAACUCUCGCUGUCUGCUGCAGUUGUCACAGGGGUCCACCUUCAGACUCAGCUGACUGUUGGUCAAAGAACCAUCGUCGGCCACCACAACUCGGAGUUUGUUAAACCGAGGAAGCCCCUCGUCCCCCACCUCGUCCGAGAAGUCGAA